UUUAGGUAGCGCCUCGUGAAUUCAUCUCCGGGGGUAGAGCACUGUUUCGGCAAGGGGGUCAUCCCGACUUACCAACCCGAUGCAAACUGCGAAUACCGGAGAAUGUUAUCACGGGAGACACACGGCGGGUGCUAACGUCCGUCGUGAAGAGGGAAACAACCCAGACCGCCAGCUAAGGUCCCAAAGUCAUGGUUAAGUGGGAAACGAUGUGGGAAGGCCCAGACAGCCAGGAUGUUGGCUUAGAAGCAGCCAUCAUUUAAAGAAAGCGUAAUAGCUCACUGGUCGAGUCGGCCUGCGCGGAAGAUGUAACGGGGCUAAACCAUGCACCGAAGCUGCGGCAGCGACGCUGAUGCGUUGUUGGGUAGGGGAGCGUUCUGUAAGCCUGUGAAGGUGUGCUGUGAGGCAUGCUGGAGGUAUCAGAAGUGCGAAUGCUGACAUAAGUAACGAUAAAGCGGGUGAAAAGCCCGCUCGCCGGAAGACCAAGGGUUCCUGUCCAACGUUAAUCGGGGCAGGGUGAGUCGACCCCUAAGGCGAGGCCGAAAGGCGUAGUCGAUGGGAAACAGGUUAAUAUUCCUGUACUUGGUGUUACUGCGAAGGGGGGACGGAGAAGGCUAUGUUGGCCGGGCGACGGUUGUCCCGGUUUAAGCGUGUAGGCUGGUUUUCCAGGCAAAUCCGGAAAACUAAGGCUGAGGCGUGAUGACGAGGCACUACGGUGCUGAAGCAACAAAUGCCCUGCUUCCAGGAAAAGCCUCUAAGCAUCAGGUAACAUCAAAUCGUACCCCAAACCGACACAGGUGGUCAGGUAGAGAAUACCAAGGCGCUUGAGAGAACUCGGGUGAAGGAACUAGGCAAAAUGGUGCCGUAACUUCGGGAGAAGGCACGCUGAUAUGUAGGUGAAGUCCCUCGCGGAUGGAGCUGAAAUCAGUCGAAGAUACCAGCUGGCUGCAACUGUUUAUUAAAAACACAGCACUGUGCAAACACGAAAGUGGACGUAUACGGUGUGACGCCUGCCCGGUGCCGGAAGGUUAAUUGAUGGGGUCAGCGCAAGCGAAGCUCUUGAUCGAAGCCCCGGUAAACGGCGGCCGUAACUAUAACGGUCCUAAGGUAGCGAAAUUCCUUGUCGGGUAAGUUCCGACCUGCACGAAUGGCGUAAUGAUGGCCAGGCUGUCUCCACCCGAGACUCAGUGAAAUUGAACUCGCUGUGAAGAUGCAGUGUACCCGCGGCAAGACGGAAAGACCCCGUGAACCUUUACUAUAGCUUGACACUGAACAUUGAGCCUUGAUGUGUAGGAUAGGUGGGAGGCUUUGAAGUGUGGACGCCAGUCUGCAUGGAGCCGACCUUGAAAUACCACCCUUUAAUGUUUGAUGUUC
This 1371-nucleotide ribosomal RNA is filed under the name Escherichia coli. RNAcentral describes it as "partial 23S ribosomal RNA". It matches the Rfam family "Bacterial large subunit ribosomal RNA", at positions 869 to 2222 of the family's 2925-position model. The record is from RNAcentral. Lineage: Bacteria; Pseudomonadati; Pseudomonadota; Gammaproteobacteria; Enterobacterales; Enterobacteriaceae.